Verticillium longisporum is the source of this 94-nucleotide transfer RNA. It matches the Rfam family "tRNA". From Rfam's summary of the family: Transfer RNA (tRNA) molecules are approximately 80 nucleotides in length. The record is from Rfam. Lineage: Eukaryota; Fungi; Ascomycota; Sordariomycetes; Glomerellales; Plectosphaerellaceae.
GGAGAGGUGGCCGAGUGGUUAAGGCGCUGGUUUUAGGUAUAUCUCGAAAUUCCACCAGUGGGAAACCGCGCGAGUUCGAAUCUCGUCCUCUUCA